RNAcentral lists this ribosomal RNA (750 nucleotides) under Bacillus cereus. Its description in RNAcentral is "bacterial SSU rRNA". It matches the Rfam family "Bacterial small subunit ribosomal RNA", at positions 50 to 780 of the family's 1533-position model. The record is from RNAcentral. Lineage: Bacteria; Bacillati; Bacillota; Bacilli; Caryophanales; Bacillaceae.
AAUACAUGCAAGUCGAGCGAAUGGAUUAAGAGCUUGCUCUUAUGAAGUUAGCGGCGGACGGGUGAGUAACACGUGGGUAACCUGCCCAUAAGACUGGGAUAACUCCGGGAAACCGGGGCUAAUACCGGAUAACAUUUUGAACCGCAUGGUUCGAAAUUGAAAGGCGGCUUCGGCUGUCACUUAUGGAUGGACCCGCGUCGCAUUAGCUAGUUGGUGAGGUAACGGCUCACCAAGGCAACGAUGCGUAGCCGACCUGAGAGGGUGAUCGGCCACACUGGGACUGAGACACGGCCCAGACUCCUACGGGAGGCAGCAGUAGGGAAUCUUCCGCAAUGGACGAAAGUCUGACGGAGCAACGCCGCGUGAGUGAUGAAGGCUUUCGGGUCGUAAAACUCUGUUGUUAGGGAAGAACAAGUGCUAGUUGAAUAAGCUGGCACCUUGACGGUACCUAACCAGAAAGCCACGGCUAACUACGUGCCAGCAGCCGCGGUAAUACGUAGGUGGCAAGCGUUAUCCGGAAUUAUUGGGCGUAAAGCGCGCGCAGGUGGUUUCUUAAGUCUGAUGUGAAAGCCCACGGCUCAACCGUGGAGGGUCAUUGGAAACUGGGAGACUUGAGUGCAGAAGAGGAAAGUGGAAUUCCAUGUGUAGCGGUGAAAUGCGUAGAGAUAUGGAGGAACACCAGUGGCGAAGGCGACUUUCUGGUCUGUAACUGACACUGAGGCGCGAAAGCGUGGGGAGCAAACAGGAUUA